This is a long non-coding RNA of Capsicum annuum, 1441 nucleotides long. RefSeq lists it as uncharacterized. The record is from RefSeq and is a predicted model, not a curated record. The transcript has 4 exons. Lineage: Eukaryota; Viridiplantae; Streptophyta; Magnoliopsida; Solanales; Solanaceae.
CUCAUUUUUCGUGUUUCUCUCUCUAAAAGAAAAUAUACAUAAAUAGAAUGAUUUCUUUCACCAUUUUCACUUUUAAAACUCGGCUUAAAUCACGCAUCGGUUACCCUUUUGAAUACAACUGUACUUGGCUCCAACUUACAGCAAUAAAUUUUAUCUUAAUCUUCAUUAAUCAUUCUGAUUUGUACGUUUUAAGGUUAGUAAUUUUUCUUCAUCAUUUACAGAACUGAUUUUCGUGGAUUUUUGAAUGAAAAAAUUGUUGCAUGUUUUUAUUAAGUAUUUUUUGGGGUUUCUUCUUUACUAAAAUUUUUAAAAUUGUCCAUUUGAAGUAGUAUAUUAACAACUUAGCACUUUGUUAAUGGAGCAUUCUCCUUAAUUCAAUUUUGGGGUUUUUCGAAAGAACAAAUUGUUGCAUGUUCUUAUUAAGUAUUUUUUGGGGGUUUUAAUUUAACAAAAUUUGAUUGUUAUAUCAUUAUUUUUCCUUUUUGUUUCAAAAUCGUCCAUUUGAAGUAGAAAUAAACAUAUUUGUACUUUGUUAAUGGAGGAUUCUCCCUUUUUAAGCUUAAAAUUAACUUAGUUAGAUACAAAUUCGGUAGUUUUUGUUACCGGAGUUUUGGACUAUGAGAAAUCUAACUUUGUUGAAAACAGAUCUAAAUUUCGUAACGACCCCUAUAAGAUGAAAGAGCUUAGAAAAGCUGCUACUGAAAAGUUGAAAAAAGCAGUUGAAAAAUCAUCAAGAUUAUCCAAAAAAGAUGAUUCAGGACGUCCACGUCUUCCUAAGGUGUUGGAAUCAAAGUUAAGUACGAGAAUUUUAUGGCUGAUAUGUUCAGCAAGUUUGUAUACAAUAAUAUAUGACCAACUCAUGAAGAAGUACAAAGUCUUGGUUUGCAAAUGAUUGAGGAUUUCAAUUAAAAGAAGCUGAAUGUGAAUUUCCUCCAGAAAUUAUUGUCGAUUGUUCCGAUGAAAAAUCUGUUGUCAACGUACAGUCACAAGUAGACCUCGAUAUACAAGGUUUUAAGGAAUUUAGUAUAGUCCCUCCUACAGAAAUUCUCAAAAGGCAGGGUUGAUUACUGAUUCUUCAAAAUCUCAUCCUACUAAGAAGCAUAAAAUAGUCCGUUUUAGUUCCACAACUGUCGAGAAGCAAGUUUGUCAGAAAACACCAUCUUUUGUUUCAACAAGAACUGUGUCAACCCAUAAAACAACUUCUUCAGAUUUGGAGCAUGUUCAUGUCGAAAAGACAACUCCAUCAUUGCCACUCAAGUUAAUUUGUCAGGACAAUUCUGAUGAAAAGUGGGAUGAUAUAAAGUUAUUUUUGUAGUCCUAUGUUGACACAAAAAUCAACUUUCUUCAUGAUCUAAUAGUCAAACAACAUCAAGACUCAAAUGAAAAAAUGGAUAAACAACAUGUCGAACUCAUCCAAAUAUUGAAACAGAACAACCAAAAA